Molecule: long non-coding RNA, 4365 nt
Filed under: Equus caballus (horse)
Lineage: Eukaryota; Metazoa; Chordata; Mammalia; Perissodactyla; Equidae
Description: lncRNA (ENSECAG00000054501.1)
Source: RNAcentral
CAUGACUGCACAUUAGAAUCACUCGAAAGCUUUAGCAAAUAGUGAUGCCCGGAGCCACUCCUAGGUAUUACAUUUAAUCAGUCUGGGCAUCAACACUGAAAAAUCUCCCAGGUGAAUCUAAUGUGCAAUCAGGGCUGAGAACCACUGAUUAAGCCCAUAUGGUGGUGCUCAGCAAGUGGCAGAAGACUGAGGAGCUUGGCUCACCUUCAGUCCUGGGCUCAGAGAGAAGCAGAGUCCUGACCUCCUUGCCCCAACUGGCCACUCCGGGGCUGGGAUAAGAUGAGCCCUUGGAAGUAGCUCCUAUUCAGGGAGUUUUCUGGUUAGAACUGAUCCCAUCUCUAGAGGCCAAGUCAAAGAUAAAGGAUUUGAGGAAAGACAGAAACUGUCAGCCAUUUUUUUUUGCUUAAUACGGAUCCAUCCUCAAGCAAACAAGUUUGGAAGCAGGGCCUGUGGUCUAGAGGCUGGCUCUGCGUCCCUUCUUGCUGGGUCUGAAUAAAGAGGGGAAGGAGCCUCUGAAGUCGCUUCCAGAAUGCCAUCGUUCUCUUCAGCAGAUGGUGGAGGAGAGAGGCUAAUUGAGAACUCCUGUAGCAUAUAAAACAAAAACCAGCCAAAGGAACCCGCAAGGUCAGCACGCAUUAAGGGAACUUUGUCAUCUUCCUAGAUUCUGCAAGUGAGUGGCUACUUGCCAGAGGGAGAGAAAUGCAGAGAGGCCGAAUUAAAAUGACAACUGGACAACAGAAACUCAUGAUUGUUGUGAAGAUCAAGUGAGACAAGGUAAGUGGUGUGUUCAGCCAACUGUAAAGCACCAUACAAGCUCUUAUUCGUAAACUGGAUCUGAGGACUAGAGGGGAAACAGGGAGAAACUCAGCUUGUGUUCAGAGGAGGCUUAGGCAGAGGCUGGAGGAGAGAGCGCGGCACAUUGGCAGUAAGGAGGUCAAGCAGGAGAGGCGUGAGAUGUGAAAGAAAACCAGGUGAGAUCUUAAAACCAGACAGAGGAAGAGUGGGACAUUGCUCUUCUGGUGCUAAGGGAUAAAGCCAAUAGACCCAGCCCUUGGUUAUCUGUGACCAUGGCUCAGAGCGCCCAACGCUAAUAGAACGUCAUCAUCGAUGACGACAACAAAAACGUUCUUUUAGCCAAAGACAUUGUCUCCUUCCUCUCAGAGAACUUUCUUUCUUCAAGAUGCUUUCAAGCAUUUCCCCACAUUGUUGGCUCUUUUCAGACACCUCUGCAGAGGGGUCCUAAUUUGCAUCACCAUGUGGGAAUCUUUAUCUUGAGCUACAUGGCUCCUCUGAGCUGUAAUAUGCCUGCAGAAAUGCGCUUAGAGUUGAUCUGAAAGUGGUACAAAGACUGACAGCUCCUUUCCUCCAGACUUUGGCCGCCCUUCCCCGAAAUCCUGGCAUCUGCUAAAGGCCCAGUUGUUUUCCAUGGGGGCAAAUAUGCCUGUCUCUCUCUUCAAGCUGACUUAUUGUACAUUCCUUUCAUCUGCUCAGAAUCUGAUUUAAAUAUGAAUCCAUGGAACGCAAACACCCAGCACUCAGAAGAAUUGUAACUUUGUUAUAUUUUGCCCAAUCACAACAAUUGUCUUAUCAUUCUUUGCCUGGUGAUGUUCUGUCAAAAGGGACCAAAUGAUGAUGUUUGGAAAGAUAGCAACACAAAUCACGUGAAAGUGAUUUAUUUUUAAUCCACCACACUGCGCUGUCCCCAAGUUAUUUGUGAAUAUGUAUCAAGCUCAAACUUUAAAAUUUUGACAAUUAAUUGGUUUCUUGCAGUUCCAUUAUUUCUCCCUAUCCUCUGAGUUUGAUGUGUGUGGAAAGUUUCCCAAAUACGUAUCUGGUAAAUUACUCCCAGACUCAAAGAUAGCUGCAGUAAAAUUUAAAAAAAUAAAGCUUCAGUCAUUCCUUUAUUUAAUGAAUAUGCAUUGAAUGUCUUCACUGUGUUGGGUGCUGGAUGAGGUUCUGGGGACACAGUAAUGAGCAAGAACAGAGAAUCUGUCUUCACAAACUUACUGGCUAGCGGAGCAGAAGUCAAUGAAGGAACAAAUAAAGACAUUUUACACAUUGUGGUAAAUGCUUGGAGUGACACAAAUGGGGGUGUUGUGAAAGAAAAUUGGAGAAGGGAGGGAGUACUCCCUGACUACCUAACCCAAAGACCUCACUUUGCAGAUGAGAAAAGUCCGGGCUGGGUCAUUUCCCCCAAUCCUAUACAGGUGGUUCCGGGCCAUCCUCAGCUAAAGGGGAUGCUGCUUCUUGGAUGAUAUACUAUUAGAUCUACUGGUGAAAUACACCAUCCUCCUGUGGUGAGUGUUUUGGGAGUAUUUGUCUUAAGGAUAUGUGAAUACAUAUAGUUAAUACAAUUCUGGGGAAAUGCAGGAAAGCAUCCUGGUACUUUUCUUUUUCACAUUGCUGAGGCCAGAAUGCUGUGGAAGUAUGGAUACUUUUCUCUCCUCCCAGACACUAACUCAGAGUUCUUGUAGUGAAGUUCACUUCCACGCCCUGAGCAAAGGAGGCCCCUAAACUCUAGACCUAAUAUCUCUUAGACCCAGUGUUUAGGUGGCUCAAGCCAAGAGGAAAUUGAGGAAAAAGCAGGAAAUUGAGGGAAAAGCCCCAGGGAGAGGGGGAAGAGAGAUGGAGAAAAUAGAAACAAAGGUGGUACCAAGAGAAGAAGCAGGAAACCAGGAUUGCAAGGUGCUGGCCAAGCAGGGAGAAGUGCUCCAUCACUUUGCUUGGCCAAUGCACUAGCCCAAGGGACUGUAAUCUCAGUGCGCUAGCAAAACCACUCCCCAUUUUCUUGAAUCCCCUGUUUCUGCUUAUGGACCUUUUCGAUGUGGGAAUCUCUGAGGUUGGAGCCAACUCUUGUUAUCUUUGUGGUUUUGUCCCACCUCACAGGCAGCAGUUAUCCAGCAGCUUGUUACAAAGCAUUGAGAGGCCACUCCUGAACUCAGGUGCACACAACCCUCUGUCCCACACUGUAUCAUCAGAGAACUUAUCACAAAGAGCAGUAACGUCUUCUCUUGCUCACAAACCCUCAAAGGACCCCUACUGAAUGUUACAAUGUUAUCUAGGAUCAAGCUAGACAGAACAAGUGUUCCAAUUUUUUAUUGUUCUGUAACAAACUCUCCUCAAAUGCAUUAAUUCCAAAAUAACAAUUUGUUUCUCUCCCAUGAUUCUGGGAUUGCUGGGCUCAGCUGGGUGGUUCUUGCUUGGCAUCCCUCACAUGGUCGCAGCCAAAAGGAGUUGUCUGAAGGCUUGGUCCUUCACAUGUCUGGUGCCUUGGCUGGGAUGGCUGAAUCAGCUGGGGACUGGUCAGCUCUCUCUCUCUUUACACGGCCUCUCCACAUGGCCAGCUUGGGCUUCCUCACAGCGCUGUGGUCAUUGUGCAGGCAUGCUUCUUACAAGGCCACUGGCUUCCCUAGAAGACAGGAAGUGGAAGCUGCUAGUCUCUUAAGGCCUGGCCUGGAAACUGUCACUUCCACCAUGUUCUGUUGAUCACAGCAGUCGCAGAGAUAAUAUAGACUCCCAUCUCUCGAUGGGAUGAGUGUCAAAGAAUUUGUGGCCAUCUCUAAUCUGUCCCAAAUCUACUGCCCCUUCCAUAUGAGAACCUUAAUGUAAAUAAAGACAGCAAACAUGUCUUUAUUCAGUUUUUGCUUUGCAGGCCAUACUCACCAGUUUCUUUAACCUUCAGAUCACUCACAUUCUUCCCAAACCCCAUAGGUAGUCCAAGUCGCCAGUCCCCCUUAAGAUGUGGCACCCAGGACCUGAUUCAUUAUCCAAGUCCUUCAAAGAGUAUCCCCACUGGCUUGGUACUCUCGUCUGUAAGUCCUGUAAGUACACUUCAACAUGGCAAGUGGCCGACUUCAGCCAGGACAUGUGCUUCGGUCUCAUUCAAGGCAGCGAUGAGGUUUCUUCUACUUCCUCAUUUAUCUCAGAUUUCUGAACCUUAAAAAACAUUUUUCCACUGUCUCUGUAUGAAGAUUAUUUUUCCUGAGAUGACGGAGGCAAAAUAGAAGUGGAAUAGUUGUGCUUUCUCCCUUCUGCUCACGUUAGACCAUCUGCUUCACGUAAUGAAUCCAUUUCUUUCCUCUUUAAAGUGCCUGAGAGUUUGCUUGUCUUGAGAUCCUCCACAGUGCUCAACAGAAUGCCUUGCUUGCUAAGUGCUUGUAAAUGACAAAGAGAAACAACAAUGGCAAAAAGCUUAGUCUGAAAAAAAUAAUCUCCAGUUGAGGGAUAUGUCAGGAUUAAGACCUUUAGGUCCAACCUGUACAUUCAUGAAUGUUCUAAAAAGGAUAUGAACUGGCUUAUCAACAACGCACAGAUACAGUAAGACCGAAGAGUAUCAAGCAAUAAAAACAAAUAGUAUUUAGUAAA